UUUCGUUACAUGUGCAACGCAGAACGUGCGCGGAUCUAUAUUUCAAUAUAUUUCAAAAGUAUUCAGCAGUGUUCAGCAGUGUUCAUCAGUGUUCAGAUUUUGUCCGGAAAGAAGAGAAAGAAGUAGUUUAGAGGCCUACCCGUACAACCUAUUGAUAAGAUAAGUGAAUUUUAUUAUAUAACCUAAAAUAAUCUCAAAGAAAAAAACCAAACCAAUAACUAAAAACAUUUUUUAUUGCAGCGUUAAUUCCGCGACUGGUAUUCAAUCAGAGGCUAUUAAUUUCUGUCAGCUUGAAGAAUGUAUUAAUAAAUGGACCUUGGAAUUGAAAAAGCAAGAUAAAGUACUUGUAAAUCAAGCGACACAAGUUGAUGCUUGGGACAAAUGGUUGAUAACAGUUGAUAACAAAUGGGGAGAAAAUACUAAUGCUGAAUCAAGAAGUUGAAAGAGUGAAAAUCGAGUAGCAGCAAUUGGAUUACGUUAUUGGACAACAGAAAGAGUUGCAAGAAUGUUUAAUACCAUUAGAAAAGGAGCUAGCAUCAUUAAGAAACAGUAGCAUCAAGAAGAAACAAUAGCAUUUAUAAUGGACAUAAAAUUUUACAAUAUUUCGGGAGAAAACAUCACGAAAAUUAUUGUCAUCCUUCACUUGAUUUUCCUCAUAAUCUCAGAGUGGGAAUACAACGCCCUGAUUCCAAGCAACCGGAUAUGCGAUUAAGGAUGUACUGGCGGUAAUUGCUGCUGUUUAUUUUUCUACACUCUUAUACAUCUACUUGUACAUAUUCACUAAAUACCUACAAAUUUUUGUAUUGUUAAAUUAAGAUUAUUAGUUUUUACAUUUCGUAAACCUGUUUUUUAAAUUAGCUGAUAUUAUUUUUUAGAAACUACUUAAACUAUCUAUUUCAAUUUUCGCAUAUAUAUAUAUAUAUAUAUAUAUAUAUAUAUAUGUAUGUAUGUAUGUAUGUAAAAUACAUAUGUGUUUAUCGCAUAAACUAGGAUUAUUGCAAUAUUAAUAAAUUAACUACUUUUUUUUACGCAUACAAUUGAAUCGAUUUUGUUAAAAUCCUUUAUUUUAAAACAGUGCCUUUUUCAUAAUUUACAAUCUUUUUCAUUUAUCCUAGUUUGUGAUAAGCAGACAUAUUAUGUAUGUUACAUAUAUGUAAAAGUAGAAUGCUUUCUAUGAUCGCAGCUAGAUCUUUGUGCUUAUAUUAUUUGUGUGAUUUUAUACUUUGUUCAAAUUCAAUAAACUGUGUGCGGAAUUGUUUUUUCAGUCAUAAUACAGCCCUACAUUGAACAAGAUUUUACUAAUAUCAUUAAAAUUGAAAUUAAUAUUAACUCUUCCCCCCCCCUAAAAAAAACUGCAAAGAAUUUAUUGCAAAAAAUAUCAUCUCAGCCAGGGUUCAAUGUAAGACUAAACUGUUAUGACUAAAAAACAAUUCUGCGAACAGUUUAUUGAAUUUCAGGAAAGUGUAUAAAAUCACACAAAUAAAACAAGCACAAAGAUCUAGCUGCGAUUAGAAUUCUUGUUCAAGUUGUAUUGUAAAUUGAUUUAUUGCGUAUUGUUUAUUGAUUUAUUGCUAAUUUAUUUCAUUGUUAAUUGAAUUUAUUGCUUUAUUUAUAUUUCGAUAUGUUUAAUCUAUAAUGUAUGAUUAAGUAAAUAUACAUAACACAUGUUGUAUUUACAUUUAUGCAAAAUAAAAUAUGACAAUUUUAUUUUUACCAGUA
Long non-coding RNA from Solenopsis invicta (red fire ant), 1719 nucleotides. RefSeq lists it as uncharacterized. The transcript has 2 exons. The record is from RefSeq and is a predicted model, not a curated record. NCBI's taxonomy places the organism in Eukaryota, Metazoa, Arthropoda, Insecta, Hymenoptera, Formicidae.